Molecule: transfer RNA, 75 nt
Filed under: Candidatus Shapirobacteria bacterium CG_4_9_14_3_um_filter_36_12
Lineage: Bacteria; Candidatus Shapironibacteriota
Description: tRNA-Gly
Rfam family: tRNA
About the family: Transfer RNA (tRNA) molecules are approximately 80 nucleotides in length.
Source: RNAcentral
GCGGGUAUAGUAUAGUGGUUACUAUGCGUCCUUGCCAAGGACGAGCCACGGGUUCGAAUCCCGUUACCCGCUCCA